AGUGAACGCUGGCGGUAGGCCUAACACAUGCAAGUCGAACGGCAGCACAGUAAGAGCUUGCUCUUACGGGUGGCGAGUGGCGGACGGGUGAGGAAUACAUCGGAAUCUACUUUUUCGUGGGGAUAACGUAGGGAAACUUACGCUAAUACCGCAUACGACCUACGGGUGAAAGCAGGGGAUCUUCGGACCUUGCGCGAUUGAAUGAGCCGAUGUCGGAUUAGCUAGUUGGCGGGGUAAAGGCCCACCAAGGCGACGAUCCGUAGCUGGUCUGAGAGGAUGAUCAGCCACAAUGGAACUGAGACACGGUCCAGACUCCUACGGGAGGCAGCAGUGGGGAAUAUUGGACAAUGGGCGCAAGCCUGAUCCAGCCAUACCGCGUGGGUGAAGAAGGCCUUCGGGUUGUAAAGCCCUUUUGUUGGGAAAGAAAAGCAGCAGGUUAAUACCCCGCUGUUCUGACGGUACCCAAAGAAUAAGCACCGGCUAACUUCGUG
This 491-nucleotide ribosomal RNA is filed under the name uncultured bacterium. Its description in RNAcentral is "partial 16S ribosomal RNA". It matches the Rfam family "Bacterial small subunit ribosomal RNA", at positions 29 to 507 of the family's 1533-position model. The record is from RNAcentral.